CCCGCACAAGCGGUGGAGCAUGUGGUUUAAUUCGAUGCAACGCGAAGAACCUUACCAGGCCUUGACAUCCAGAGAACAAAGCAGAGAUGCAUUGGUGCCUUCGGGAACUCUGAGACAGGUGUUGCAUGCCUGUCGUCAGCUCGUGUCGUGAGAUGUUGGGUUAAGUCCCGCAACGAGCGCAACCCUUAUCCUUACUUGCCAGCACUUCGGGUGGGAACUUUAAGGAGACUGCCGGUGACAAACCGGAGGAAGGUGGGGAUGACGUCAAGUCAUCAUGGCCCUUACGGCCUGGGCUACACACGUGCUACAAUGGACAGUACAGACGGUUGCCAAACCGCGAGGUGGAGCUAAUCUGAGAAAGCUGUUCGUAGUCCGGAUUGCACUCUGCAACUCGAGUGCAUGAAGUCGGAAUCGCUAGUAAUCGCGAAUCAGAAUGUCGCGGUGAAUACGUUCCCGGGUCUUGUACACACUGCCCGUCACACCAUGGGAGUGGGUUGCACCAGAAGUAGCUAGCUUAUUAGGGCGGUUACCACGGUGUGAUUCAUGACUGGGGUGAAGUCGUAACAAGGUAACC
RNAcentral lists this ribosomal RNA (574 nucleotides) under uncultured Suttonella sp. RNAcentral's name for it is "bacterial SSU rRNA". It matches the Rfam family "Bacterial small subunit ribosomal RNA", at positions 920 to 1501 of the family's 1533-position model. The record is from RNAcentral. Lineage: Bacteria; Pseudomonadati; Pseudomonadota; Gammaproteobacteria; Cardiobacteriales; Cardiobacteriaceae.